Molecule: small RNA, 1835 nt
Filed under: Pan troglodytes (chimpanzee)
Lineage: Eukaryota; Metazoa; Chordata; Mammalia; Primates; Hominidae
Description: retained intron
Source: RNAcentral
AUUUUGAUUAUGUUUUUCUUUUUUCUUUUCUUACCUUGUGUUUAGAUAUCCUUUUAGAUUUGGAUUCUCCUGCUCCUGUCACGACACCAGCACCAACUCCAGUUUCUGCAAGCAAUGACUUGUGGGGAGACUUCAGCACUGCAUCCAGCUCUGUUCCAAACCAGGCACCACAGCCAUCCAACUGGGUCCAGUUCUGAAUGGCAUUGGCAGGACAUUAAGGACAGACUUGAGGAAUAAAAAUGACCUUGAGGGCACCAAUCUGUGAGGGAAGUUAGGAACCCAUUUCCUCCCCAGAACCAGAAUGACUGGAAAAUCUUUUUCAUAGCUUCUCCAUCACAUUCAAGCUGGUUUAUGUCACUCCCCUGUGUUGUUACUUGUACAGCCAAGAAAGUAUCUGUUAUCUCCUGCUUAGUACCAAGGUAGGGGACUAGUGGAUCUUAUCAUAGUUUUGGCUGACUAUGCAGGGCUUAAAAGGCCAGCGUCUGUUUGAGGGGGAAUGACCUCUAACAUCUGUAAAAUUUGUCUCAUCUUUUAAAUUCUUUAACUUAUUUCAAAAUCAUCUCAUGACCCUUGUGUGCCUCUUUGUGAAGCCCUAUUUAGCAAUUUCAGGGGAGUCAAAAACCUUGCAACUUCCUUCUCCACUAACCCAGGACUAAAAAUGGACAGGCUCACCUCAGUGUUUACAAAUUCAGAAUUUUGAUAGGGGUAGAUAUGGAGAAAGACCUAUUUCCUGGGUCUCUGCUGUGUAGUCUCCUUCAGGCUUAUUGUACUCAGUGAACAUCCAGUGCUGGGUGCAGCUCCAUCACCCUCUUGUGUGUUUACAUGUCUCUUUCUAUGAUAAGAGGGUUGUGUUGGUGGCACCUCCACUACUCUUUUCUGUUUGUUGAGUGAAUUGUGUAACAUCUUUGAUCAGUGGGUGUCUCUGUAAUGAAGGAGGUUCAAGAGGCUGUGCUUUCCAAGUGAUAGUCUAUAGGAGUGUUUAAUUUCUUGCAGCUCCAUCUGGUUGCUGCAUUUGAAGCAUGGCAUUAAUUUGUAUUUGCCCUGUUCUUUGACCUAAAGUUGAAGGGUUUAGAGUUUUUAACCUGAUCUGUAGAGCAGAGAGGUUGAAAGCACUUAACUCUUGUUUAGUAUCCUCAUUGCCUUGCUGCCUGGGUAUCUGGCCCCUUUCCAUAAACAUUUCUUUUCAGUUCAUGUAGUUCUUUAAUAGAAAGCUGCUGUUAUGUAUAUUGUCAUUUGUGAAGGAAGUUGGAGAGUCACAGCUUUACUGUGACAGGUUUUGCCCAAGGCUUUGAUACCUGUCACCCAGGGUAUCUUAAAAGCAAGUUGUUCUCCCACUACUUUCCUUUCCCUCUGCCCUGCCAUUCCUUUUACAAUGCUGUGAAAAAAGUUCUGCUUCUUAGGUGAAUGGGGUACUUUCUAUUUUGUUUCUAAACGAGCAAUUUUGAGGAUGAAAUGGGAAGAUAUCAUUGCUUCCUUUUUGCACCUAUUGGGUAUGUACACUCUGGCCGAAGGGAGUCCUUAUGUUUAGUUUCAAAAUAUAUUACUUUCCUGGAUUCUCUUCUUCACUUUUUCUGACUUUGGGUCCAUUUUCUUUUCAUUGCCUCCUUUUCCAGGCAGCUCUAUUCUUGCAGAGCCAUAGCAGGACAUAUUAAAAUUCCAAUAGAAAACACUAAAAGGAAAGUCUGUGGAAUCACUAGUGACUAAAUACUGGGAACCUAUUUUCUCAAUCUUCCUCCAUGUUGUGUUCUUUGUAUUCUCGAGAUGAUAAUAUAUUAUGUAUUUGAAUUCCUGAAAAAUGGAAAAUGUUUAAGAUAUAUGUAUAUAAAGCAUAUGCU